AUUUAACCUAACCUUUAAUUAAUUUUUUUACUGCUGUGUUUACAUUCUAUUUAAAUACUAUGCAAUUUAUUGACAAACAAAUAGCGUAAUUAUUAUAUAUUUUUUGAGGUUAAAAUUUGAUAUUAAAUUAUUGUCAUGAGUUCUGAAGAGAAGAUUCUAACAGAAGUACCUAGUAGUUUGAAACAAUUAGCAUGUCACGUUACACGUGGUUUUUAUGCAAUUGAAAAUGCAUUAAUUGUUGAUAAGAUUCAACUAGUAAAAAUCCAUCAAUUGUACAUUCUGGACUAUUUUAUUUAAUGAAAGAACCACCUGGUGAAAGUGAAUUGACUGGAGCAACCAACUUGAUGGCCUACUAUGGUCUUGAACAUUCAUACAGUAAAUUCAGUGGUAAAAAAUUAAUAGAAGCAAUUGUUUUUUGAGAUCUGUUAUUGAUAAACCACCAAUUAGAGGAAAAGAAUAAUUAUUGCUAUUAACUGGAAUGCAACUUUCAGGGUUUCGUUUACAUCCUGGACCUGUAAUUAUCAACUUUUUUAUUUAUAAUUUUGAUCAUCAUAAUUUGAUAAUUAUUGUAGAAUAUGUGGGAAUGUAACAUUAACUGGUCGAACAAUUUUUGUAAAUGAUUUAACUGAUGAUAAAAAGCAACAUAUUGAUGAAAAAAUAUCAUCAUGUAUUCCAGUGGAGAUUUUAUCGACAGAUGAAUUACCAAAAAAAAUUUGUCUUAAUUGUGCUAAAAAGCUAAAUGACAACAACUAUCAAAAAAAACAAAUAAAUUACUUUUGUCCAUGAAGACUAAAAAUGAUCCUAAAGCAUUUGAUAGACCAAU
Molecule: long non-coding RNA, 823 nt
Organism: Aphidius gifuensis
Lineage: Eukaryota; Metazoa; Arthropoda; Insecta; Hymenoptera; Braconidae
Exons: 5
Source: RefSeq, a predicted model, not a curated record